AACGCGAAGAACCUUACCUGGUCUUGACAUCCACAGAACUUGGCAGAGAUGCCUUGGUGCCUUCGGGAACUGUGAGACAGGUGCUGCAUGGCUGUCGUCAGCUCGUGUUGUGAAAUGUUGGGUUAAGUCCCGCAACGAGCGCAACCCUUAUCCUUUGUUGCCAGCGGUCCGGCCGGGAACUCAAAGGAGACUGCCAGUGAUAAACUGGAGGAAGGUGGGGAUGACGUCAAGUCAUCAUGGCCCUUACGACCAGGGCUACACACGUGCUACAAUGGCGCAUACAAAGAGAAGCGACCUCGCGAGAGCAAGCGGACCUCAUAAAGUGCGUCGUAGUCCGGAUUGGAGUCUGCAACUCGACUCCAUGAAGUCGGAAUCG
RNAcentral lists this ribosomal RNA (376 nucleotides) under uncultured Enterobacter sp. RNAcentral's name for it is "bacterial SSU rRNA". It matches the Rfam family "Bacterial small subunit ribosomal RNA", at positions 958 to 1334 of the family's 1533-position model. Lineage: Bacteria; Pseudomonadati; Pseudomonadota; Gammaproteobacteria; Enterobacterales; Enterobacteriaceae. The record is from RNAcentral.